GGAGGACCUGUGGCUUAGUGGAAGAGCAUCUGCCUUGCAUACAGAAGAUUCCAGGUUCAGUGCCCAGCAUCUCCA
Molecule: transfer RNA, 75 nt
Filed under: Sphaerodactylus townsendi
Lineage: Eukaryota; Metazoa; Chordata; Lepidosauria; Squamata; Sphaerodactylidae
Description: tRNA-Ala
Rfam family: tRNA (bases 4-59)
About the family: Transfer RNA (tRNA) molecules are approximately 80 nucleotides in length. Their secondary structure includes four short double-helical elements and three loops (D, anti-codon, and T loops).
Source: RNAcentral